Callithrix jacchus (white-tufted-ear marmoset) is the source of this 4064-nucleotide long non-coding RNA. The record is from Ensembl. NCBI's taxonomy places the organism in Eukaryota, Metazoa, Chordata, Mammalia, Primates, Cebidae.
CGAGUUGACGGCUUGGGGCCACAUCGUGGGAUGGGAGAGUGGCUGUGAUGGCAGUGAUGAGUCAUGAGCUUAUGGUCGGGAGUCCAGACCCUGUCCCUUGAUUAGCUGUGUGACCUUUCAUAUGUCACAUAAUCCCUGUGGGGGUUGGGCUUCACAGCCAUUAAAUGGGUUUAAUACCCAGGAACCUGACUACCUUGAGGUGGUCAUAGGUCAGGCCUGCAGCUCCAGACUUGGGGUGUUCUGCUUGGGCAGCCACCAGGGAAGACUACUUGGGGAGAAGGAGGCAGUGCCUUGGGGUUAAGAAGAUGGUGCUCCUCCCUCAGGGUAACGGGAGGGGGAGUUCUUGAAUGUCCUGGGGUAUCCAGGUCAGGAGAGAAGAGGACACGACCUGAGCCUCAGCAGGUAGUGGUGAGUUUCAGGCUGCUGAGGCUGUGGCAGAGGGAGUGUUCCGUUCUCUGCCCCACCCCUUUGAAAUACCAGGAGCAGAGCUGACACAGGCUGAAAGGGAAACUCCUAGUUGUGAUGCAGCCAAGAGCCUGUCAGCUUCUGUAGGGGAUUUUCCUUACCCUGAGUGUAUAGAGAGGUGAUGACCACUAGCAGCUGAGAAACCAUAUAGCCGCCUGCGCAGCUGAACAGGCCAGCAGGCAGCCUGCCAUGGAGUCCCACUCCAAGAACUGGUUCUUCUGCUGGGCCUCUGAGCUCCUGGUAUUCAUCAGCCUCUUCCUCAGUGUCUGCAGCACUGAAGCCUACAUUUCUGAAGCACAUGGCUCUGUCUUGGAUGAUUCUAGAAAACCCACUCAUCUGAAGGGGAUCCGAGGUGGUUCUGUCUUGUUUAAUGUGAUCGAGAAGCUCAGAGUAGUUGUAGGAGCCGAGCUGCAGGAGGUUUCAUGGGGUUUAGGCACUGCAAUAAAUCACACACAGGUGCUGGAAAUCCACAGGGGAGCCGACUCUCCAACCUGGUUGAGCCUCCAGGACAAGUUCAAGCAGAGGGUCCAUGUGCCCAGCAUGUGGUCUCUGAGGAUUGAGAACCUGGCCCCUGAAGACAGUGGGCAGUACGUGGCCAUGAUCCACUCAACUCAGGGAAGAACAUAUGCCCAGGUUUUCUACCUCACUGUCUAUGAGCCUGUGCCUCAUCCUGGAAUCCUGGCCAAGUUACUCUCUAUCACACCAGGCUUGUGUAACAUAACCCUGCAGUGCAGAGCUCCAGGGGCCACCGAGGACCUGAAAGUGACCUGGGAGAGCAAGGGCCUCCUCAGAGAGCUGGAGCAGAGAGAAACACCAAGACCCGCCCUGAACCCCUGGACCCUGGCUGUGAGCCUGCCCCUGUGCCAGUGCAACACCCACCUCACCUGUGUGGUCAGCAACCAGGUGGAUAAGAAAGCUGCAAUCUUAGAUCUUAGGGAAGUGUGUGUCCAAGAAACAGAUCCACACAAACAGGACACGGUUAGACUGCUGCCAGGCCUCCUAGGGGAUGUUGUGGGUGUGAUGUUGGUCCUGGGAACUGGGCUGUAUCUUUUGAAGACAUGUAAGAAGAAAAAGAAGAUGAAGAUAAGAAGAGGUGGAGAACUGCAGGAGAACCAUGGGGUGGAUGAUGAUGCCAACCACUAUGAAGAUCUCAGGCUGCCAGUGUCUCAGAAGGACAAGGACAAGGGCAUUGGUGAACAAUAUCUGGAAAAAGAGGAGCCGCUCACUGCUGUCUACAGUGAGGUUCAUUAUCACUGUCCAGGCACGGCCAUUAAGAUCAUUCGAAUGGAGGAAGCAAAAGGAUCUGGCACUCCCAGGACACCUACACUCUGAGCCUGAAGCCUGCACACCUCUGCCUUUCUUAGUGCUGGUCCAGUUUGAGCUGCCCCUUGUCUGUACGCUGAUCUCACAGCCAUAGUUCUACAGUGUACCCAUGACCUGUUCACAUUCUGAGACACCUCCCCAAGAUGCACUCACAGUUGGGCAAAGAUUCUUUCCCUAUCAUUGACAUGGUUCCUGACCCCUCUCCUCCAAGAACCUUCCCAAGGGGGCCCUGUCUGACUGAGCAGGUGGAAAAUCCCAGCCACCUCUGCCGUGUCACUGGUGUGUGUACUUCUGAGGACACAAGCCCAGGCGUGGGAACGGUGCAGAGAGGAGGGAGGUAGGACUUGGCUUCUGGAUGCUGAGUUGGAGGACAGCAUGGGUGGGUAGGAGCCCACAAAGGAACAGGCUGAGGCUUUCUCUGCAGAUUUUAUAUAGGGCUCCCUUGGGGGCAUCAGGCAGUGUGUGUGUACAUGAAUGUUGGGGCAGGUGUCUAGUACAUAUGAUACAACUGAACUAAAGCCACCUUUCUUUUCUCCUGUGCUAAUCUGAACCUAAUCUUCAGUCUUAGCCUGUGGAUCCAAACUCAACUUCCUAUAGAGUAGAAAGAGAAAUUUGUGUUAUCUCAAAAGCUUCCUAGCCUCUGUGUCUCAGAGAAUGACCCUAACAGGCCACAGUUUGGGGUUGUCUUAGGAAAACAGCUUCAGCUCUUUCCUUUGCCUAGGAUAGAGCACUUAGCUAUAAGAACAGAGCUGUGGUAUUCUUCCACGCCCCCUUGGAGAGGACUACUUGGGCUCUGAUGGGUGAAGCUGUUGAGAAGGUCUGACCCAGCCCUCUCCAGCCUCUUCUUAUUCUGACCCUCCGUGCCCCAGUAGCUAUGCUGGCCCCAAACCCUAGGUCAUCCACUUCUUUGCUAACUUGCAUCCCUCUGCCCGAAAUGAAAUUUCCCUCUCCCUGUUUCUCACCCUCACUCCCACCUGCUGAAAUCCACUGUGCUACUCAAAGCCCUUCCCAAGAUGCUUGUUCCAUGGAACUCUGGAUCUCAAAGGUUUAAACAUGAUCUCUUCCCACAUCUGACUUUUCUGAACACCUUGGACACUAUGUAGGAUCCCUGCCACAGUUUGUCCUGGGAUGAUCAUGAGUCUUCCUGCAGGGCUAACCUGGGCUCUCUCAGGAGGAUGUGGGGCUGUGGGAGAAGAGGGCUGAGGAGACAAGCACUUCUUGGAGCAAAGGGUCUGGGCCAACCUUUUCCCAUCCCAUGGGGUCAGCAGAGGGAGAUGCAGCACAAGAGCUGCUGACAGACUCUCUGGCGUGGCUCUACCUGGAAACGGAUGGACACAAUGACCUCCUUGACUAUACUCAGCCUGAGGUCCUAAUUGGAGACUUCCUUACUCCCUUAUCCACCACUUAUUGUGAACCCGGCCAUGCUUCCACCACAGUAUGUGAGUGUUUCUUCCCUCCUGAGGGGUCUUCAGCUUCUUGCAGCCUCUGCCUCCUGUUUGAGUCCCGGCUUUUAUGCAGAGCUAGGCUAACUCUAGCGCCACAAGGUGCUGUGGCACGUCUGGUGGCCUAGAUCCUUGGGUCUCUUAGUUUCCCCCACGGCUCAGGUGAACUCAUUUCCUCAUUGCCACCCACAGAAAACAAAGAUCUGAACAGAGUCCCUGCUAAGAGAUUGAGCACUAGGACAUAAUGCUAGGUGCCUGCCGGACGGUGGACGAGUGAGGCAGGAGGGAGAGGAGCCAUAGUAGGGCUUCAUUUUUGCCAUCUUCCAGUUUAGGCUGAGCGUAAAGCUGACAGUGCCAGUCUCCUCACUGGCUUCCCAGGUGGCUGGACUUGACGAGGUAUCAGUGCACGUUAGCCCUGGGGCAGCGGAAGAUGUGAUCAUCCAACAGACCUUCCCACCUCAUCGAAGGCACAAACAAACAAACACAAAAGAAGAACAAGGCUUUUCAGGCUGUUUUGAACCAGUUUUUGUCCCAGGCACUUUGCAAAUAUUAUUCUUUUUAAUUAUUUUUAAAUACAUUUUUAAUUUUAAAAUGCUAAAUGUUUUGCUCUUCUUAUGAUUUCUUCCAAUGAUAUCAAACUUAAAAGUCCUCUGCAUUCCAAGGAUCCAGUAAAUGUUUUUAUAUUUUCUUCUCGUUUAAAACAUGACGUUAUACACAUUUCACUCAUAUUAUCCUUCUAAUUCUAAGAACCUGCUAGAGUUGAUAUUGACCAACAGCAUUCAUAACUAGUUGGUGGCAAAGCAAAGCCUGAGAUCCACCCCUGGCUGAUUCCAG